GACGAACGCUGGCGGCGUGCUUAACACAUGCAAGUCGAACGGAAAGGCCCUGCUUUUGUGGGGUGCUCGAGUGGCGAACGGGUGAGUAACACGUGAGUAACCUGCCCUUGACUUUGGGAUAACUUCAGGAAACUGGGGCUAAUACCGGAUAGGAGCUCCUGCUGCAUGGUGGGGGUUGGAAAUUUUCGGCGGUUGGGGAUGGACUCGCGGCUUACCAGCUUGUUGGUGGGGUAGUGGCUUACCAAGGCUUUGACGGGUAGCCGGCCUGAGAGGGUGACCGGCGACAUUGGGACUGAGAUACGGCCCAGACUCCUACGGGAGGCAGCAGUGGGGAAUAUUGCACAAUGGGCGGAAGCCUGAUGCAGCAACGCCGCGUGCGGGAUGACGGCCUUCGGGUUGUAAACCGCUGUCGCCUGUGACGAAGCGUGAGUGACGGUAAUGGGUAAAGAAGCACCGGCUAACUACGUG
This 468-nucleotide ribosomal RNA is filed under the name uncultured bacterium. Its description in RNAcentral is "partial 16S ribosomal RNA". It matches the Rfam family "Bacterial small subunit ribosomal RNA", at positions 28 to 507 of the family's 1533-position model. The record is from RNAcentral.